RNAcentral lists this ribosomal RNA (219 nucleotides) under uncultured bacterium. RNAcentral describes it as "partial 16S ribosomal RNA". It matches the Rfam family "Bacterial small subunit ribosomal RNA", at positions 1284 to 1500 of the family's 1533-position model. The record is from RNAcentral.
AUUCUCAGUUCGGAUUGUAGGCUGAAACUCGCCUACAUGAAGCUGGAGUUACUAGUAAUCGCAGAUCAGAAUGCUGCGGUGAAUGCGUUCCCGGGUCUUGUACACACCGCCCGUCACACCACGGAAGUCGGGGGCGCCCGAAGCCACUUAGCUAACCCUUUUAGGAAGCGAGUGUCGAAGGUGAAAUCAAUAACUGGGGUGAAGUCGUAACAAGGUAUC